UUAGAAUCUAGACCUGGCAUAUCUUCAUACGACCAUGCAAAAAUAUCCGGGUAUUCCCGGAGGAGCUGGAUGAUCUUCUUUUUAACCCCUUCCUCUAGAGCAGCACCGAUCUUGAUUUCUCGCUUGUUCUCCUCGGUACCUAUGUUGAUAAGCUCAAUCUCUUCCUGG
This 168-nucleotide microRNA precursor is filed under the name Medicago truncatula (barrel medic). RNAcentral describes it as "MIR2680 microRNA precursor family". It matches the Rfam family "MIR2680 microRNA precursor family". The record is from Rfam by way of RNAcentral. Lineage: Eukaryota; Viridiplantae; Streptophyta; Magnoliopsida; Fabales; Fabaceae.